AAGUCGUAACAAGGUUUCCGUAGGUGAACCUGCGGAAGGAUCAUUACCGAGUGAGGGCCCUCUGGGUCCAACCUCCCACCCGUGUUUAUUUUACCUUGUUGCUUCGGCGGGCCCGCCUUUACUGGCCGCCGGGGGGCUCACGCCCCCGGGCCCGCGCCCGCCGAAGACACCCUCGAACUCUGUCUGAAGAUUGUAGUCUGAGUGAAAAUAUAAAUUAUUUAAAACUUUCAACAACGGAUCUCUUGGUUCCGGCAUCGAUGAAGAACGCAGCGAAAUGCGAUACGUAAUGUGAAUUGCAAAUUCAGUGAAUCAUCGAGUCUUUGAACGCACAUUGCGCCCCCUGGUAUUCCGGGGGGCAUGCCUGUCCGAGCGUCAUUGCUGCCCUCAAGCACGGCUUGUGUGUUGGGCCCCGUCCUCCGAUUCCGGGGGACGGGCCCGAAAGGCAGCGGCGGCACCGCGUCCGGUCCUCGAGCGUAUGGGGCUUUGUCACCCGCUCUGUAGGCCCGGCCGGCGCUUGCCGAUCAACCCAAAUUUUUAUCCAGGUUGACCUCGGAUCAGGUAGGGAUACCCGCUGAACUUAA
RNAcentral lists this ribosomal RNA (581 nucleotides) under Penicillium gladioli. RNAcentral's name for it is "eukaryotic LSU rRNA". The stretch from base 223 to 375 matches the Rfam family "5.8S ribosomal RNA". Lineage: Eukaryota; Fungi; Ascomycota; Eurotiomycetes; Eurotiales; Aspergillaceae. The record is from RNAcentral.